RNAcentral lists this long non-coding RNA (254 nucleotides) under Mytilus galloprovincialis (Mediterranean mussel). Lineage: Eukaryota; Metazoa; Mollusca; Bivalvia; Mytilida; Mytilidae. The record is from RNAcentral.
AUCAAAUAUUUCAAAAAGGAGACGGGCGUAUCAUGCACUCAUGGCGUAGCUGUUUAUUUGUUAUGGAAUACUUUUUUCAGCAUUUAUUUUUGUACAAAUAUCGAAACUCACACAUGUUUGUAAUUUAAAUAAUGUGUAAUAAAAUUGAGAAUGGAAAUGAGGAAUAUGUCAAAGAGACAAAAAUCAUAUCUAGUAAAAAUUCAAGGGCAGUUAUGGUAUCAAAGUAGGUCCAAUUGACAUAGUUCUUGUGUUUG